This 255-nucleotide ribosomal RNA is filed under the name uncultured bacterium. RNAcentral's name for it is "partial 16S ribosomal RNA". It matches the Rfam family "Bacterial small subunit ribosomal RNA", at positions 524 to 776 of the family's 1533-position model. The record is from RNAcentral.
GACAGAGGUGCCGAGCGUUAGGCGGAAUCACUGGGCUUAAAGCGUGUGUAGGCGGGCGGGCAAGUACCUUGUGAAAUCCCACGGCUCAACCGUGGAACGGCUGGGUAUACUGCCUGUCUUGAGCCAACUAGGGGCGAGCGGAACAGACGGUGGAGCGGUGAAAUGCGUAGAUAUCGUCUGGAACGCCGAAGGUGAAAACAGCUCGCUGGGGUUGUGCUGACGCUGAGACACGAACGAGCCAGGGAGCGGAACGGG